Molecule: ribosomal RNA, 502 nt
Filed under: uncultured Porphyromonadaceae bacterium
Lineage: Bacteria; Pseudomonadati; Bacteroidota; Bacteroidia; Bacteroidales; Porphyromonadaceae
Description: bacterial SSU rRNA
Rfam family: Bacterial small subunit ribosomal RNA
Source: RNAcentral
UCUCGGACGUCAGGAUGAACGCUAGCGACAGGCUUAACACAUGCAAGUCGAGGGGCGAGCGGGUAGAUGAGCUUGCUCAUUUAUGCCGGCGACCGGCGCACGGGUGAGUAACACGUAUGCAACCUGCCGUCUCAGGGGGAUAAUCGUCGGAAACGGCGUCUAAUACCCCGUAUGAAGCUGGACGGCAUCGUCUGGUUUUGAAAGAAUAUAGGAGGCGGAUGGGCAUGCGGCGCAUUAGCUGGUUGGCGGGGUAACGGCCCACCAAGGCAACGAUGCGUAGGGGUUCUGAGAGGAAGGUCCCCCACACUGGUACUGAGACACGGACCAGACUCCUACGGGAGGCAGCAGUGAGGAAUAUUGGUCAAUGGGCGAGAGCCUGAACCAGCCAAGUCGCGUGAGGGAGUACUGCACUAUGGGUUGUAAACCUCUUUUGUCGGGGAGCAAAAGCCGGACGUGUCCGUCUGUGAGAGUACCCGAAGAAAAAGCAUCGGCUAACUCCGUG